UGGCCCAUGAAAUCAAGCUUGGGUGAGACCUGGUACAGAACAGGAAGGCGACCCAUACUUGGUUUCAGUGGCUG
This is a non-coding RNA of Mesocricetus auratus (golden hamster), 74 nucleotides long. Lineage: Eukaryota; Metazoa; Chordata; Mammalia; Rodentia; Cricetidae. The record is from Rfam.